Molecule: ribosomal RNA, 547 nt
Filed under: uncultured bacterium
Lineage: Bacteria
Description: bacterial SSU rRNA
Rfam family: Bacterial small subunit ribosomal RNA
Source: RNAcentral
UUUAAUUCGAAGCAACGCGAAGAACCUUACCAGGACUUGACAUCCCUCUGAAAUCCCGAGUAAAGUUGGGAGUUCUACGGACAGAGGAGACAGGUGGUGCAUGGUUGUCGUCAGCUCGUGUCGUGAGAUGUUGGGUUAAGUCCCGCAACGAGCGCAACCCUUGUCAUUAGUUACCAGCGGGUAGAGCCGGGGACUUUAAUGAGACUGCCGUGGAUAACACGGAGGAAGGUGGGGAUGACGUCAAAUCAUCAUGCCCCUUAUGUUCUGGGCUACACACGUGCUACAAUGGUCGGUACAAAGAGAAGCGAGCCUGUGAAGGUAAGCAAAACUAAAAAACCGAUCCCAGUUCGGAUUGCAGGCUGAAACUCGCAUGCAUGAAGAUGGAGUUGCUAGUAAUCGCAGAUCAGAAUGUUGCGGUGAAUGCGUUCCCGGGUCUUGUACACACCGCCCGUCACACCAUGGAAGUUGGGGGUGCCCGAAGUCGGUUAGUAAAUAUACUGCCUAAGGCAAAACCAAUGACUGGGGUGAAGUCGUAACAAGGUAGCCG